CGAGGAUGCUGAUGAGUCCGGCUGCAAAUUAGUUUCUGCACGCUUGACAACUUCCGAUGGAGUGGGCGCUGUGGGUUUCGCCUUAUCAGCGGCCACUGGCGACGUCGCGCUUAUGUCAUCUGGAAAAUAAUUUAAAAAAUAGGCAGCCAUCAAGGGUUCAAAACCAGGCCCAGAACAUUGACCAUUCAACGAGCAAUCGCGGGGCUUUUUCGCACACGCUUAUCAAAUCACAUUUCCCGAGGCCAGCAAGAGAGAGAGAGAGUGAGAGAGAGCGAUGGUAAGACAUGCACUUGUUGAACGUGGCUGACGCACACAUACACACCGCCUCUUGCACCAACACAAGCAAAAGGGCGGAGAGUGAGCGCGGAGGGACAUUAACAAAAAGUGUAGCGCACUUCUCGGCGCAUGCGACUCUGCCUGCAAUGUUUACGUAUUGCCAUCGGGUUUGGCCAAUGUUUUAGACUUGAUUUUUCUAGUAUGGCAGUAACUAUAUAUGCAUAUAUAUGUAUAUAAUGCAUUCAAUGUAAUAUUCUAAAAAAUAAUUAUAUGGAAUUUGACAAAAAUAAUAUUUGAUAUUUGGGGAGUACAUUUUUACAUUUAAAGUUAGUAUCCUAACUUUAGAUUUUAAAAAGGCCAGUUAUGAAUGGAAAAGUGAGCAAAGCUCAGUCUUUAUCUAGGGGCAAAUCCAAUAUUUGCACUGUUUUUUUUCUGCACUUUUUUUCACAAAACGGACAUUGAUUUUUGCCUCCAUAUGGUGGCUAAAAUCGGACGUUGAGGCUGAAGUCGAAUUUGAACCCUGGCUAUUGCACUAGGGAGCUGUUCCUGUUCCUGUUCCUCGUCUUAUUUCAGGGUGUCGCUGGUUCCUCCCUUGAUUAGUACACGGAAAAAAAUACUGAUUCAACAUUAUCAAGGCUAUCCGAGGAUAGUGGUAAAAAGAAUUUUGAAACCACAAAGGAAUUCUUAUGAUUUAAAUACCUAGCAUUAUACUAAUAUUAUAAACUCUCAAAUAAUCUAAUCUUUUUCUUCCGUGCAUGUGUUUGUGGGUGUUUGCCUGUUUUUGCUGUCUGUGUGGGCAGCUUGACUAACGGUAGUAAAGCGGCAAAAGCAGCGGCAACCACCGCAUUACGCUGAAAAGUUCAUUUACAUGCUGGCUGUGAUGACAUUUCACGCACACACUGACGCCAUAAAGACACCCUUAGAUAUUGCUGUGUGGGUGUGCUUGUGUGUGAAAGUCAAACGCCCAUUGAUAACGAUGUAGCUCUACACAAAAAACACCAGUAAAACAGGCAAGCACUCCACCAGACUUUUAAAAGUAUAUCCUGAACAUUGGAAAACAGACAAAAAUAAGAUUUUUGGAUUUAUAAUAUAUUUGGGGAAAAUAUAACUUAAAUCUUUCAUUGAAUCGGAUACCAAAUCAUUAUACUACAACCGAAAAUGUGUUAUUUUAGUGAUGUGUUAAAACUAAAAGCGUGAGAGUUCAUAUUUUUCGGAUUUUUCCCAGUGCAAGAAGUUCGUUUGCACUGGAGAUAUUUAGAGAAAAGCAGUGGGCUUACUUCGCACCUGGUAGGUCAUCCGCAUACGCAGUUGACUUAUUGAUUUGCACACACGACAAAAAAAAAUGAAAAGCCACACAUCGGCGAUUCUCGGUUGCUCCUAUUCGCGUGCCUAAAUAGACAGCUAAUUUGAACUUCGCCGAAGCGCCAUGACGUAGGCGCCCUCCAAAAGGCCACCCGCCCACUCAUAAAGCCACCCUUUUUGUCGGAAAACGGAAGUAUUUCAGCAGUUAACCAACGCUGAUUGGUUGAGUGUUUGCAAAACGUCGGCUUGUCAGGCUUGUGAAAUAUGUGGGUGGUGGUGGGACGGGGCUGGAAGCGGAGGAGCCGGUGGAAAAACCUGACGGAAAAUCGCUUCUGAUGAGGAGCUUUACGGACGACACUCUGGACACGCUGACAACGAUGACGGCAACACGAACGGACAGUUCUUGCAUUAAUUUGCAUGCGGAAUCAAGCAUAAGUCUCUGUACGCACAGUGGGACUGCUUGAGUCUUACCCCCGAGUCUUACCAUUAAAAACAUAUUUUCUUUUUGAAAAUUAUAAUAAAAACAUGUUGCUGGAAUAAAAUUGUUAUUUAUGUA
Long non-coding RNA from Drosophila yakuba, 2134 nucleotides. RefSeq lists it as uncharacterized. The record is from RefSeq and is a predicted model, not a curated record. The transcript has 2 exons. NCBI's taxonomy places the organism in Eukaryota, Metazoa, Arthropoda, Insecta, Diptera, Drosophilidae.